UGAACGCUGGCGGCGUGCCUAACACAUGCAAGUCGAACGAAGCACUGUAAACGGAGAUUCGUCGAAGUUUGCUUUGACUUAGUGGCAAACGGGUGAGUAACGCGUAAGCAACCUGCCCUUCAGAUGGGGACAACAACUGGAAACGGCUGCUAAUACCGAAUACGUUCUUUUUGUCGCAUGGCAGAGAGAAGAAAGGGAGGCUCUUCGGAGCUUUCGCUGAAGGAGGGGGCUUGCGUCUGAUUAGCUAGUUGGAGGGGUAACGGCCCACCAAGGCGACGAUCAGUAGCCGGUCUGAGAGGAUGAACGGCCACAUUGGGACUGAGACACGGCCCAGACUCCUACGGGAGGCAGCAGUGGGGAAUCUUCCGCAAUGGACGAAAGUCUGACGGAGCAACGCCGCGUGAACGAUGACGGCCUUCGGGUUGUAAAGUUCUGUUAUACGGGACGAAUGGCGUAGCGGUCAAUACCCGUUACGAGUGACGGUACCGUAAGAGAAAGCCACGGCUAACUACGUG
Molecule: ribosomal RNA, 515 nt
Filed under: uncultured bacterium
Lineage: Bacteria
Description: bacterial SSU rRNA
Rfam family: Bacterial small subunit ribosomal RNA
Source: RNAcentral